This 497-nucleotide ribosomal RNA is filed under the name uncultured bacterium. RNAcentral's name for it is "partial 16S ribosomal RNA". It matches the Rfam family "Bacterial small subunit ribosomal RNA", at positions 28 to 507 of the family's 1533-position model. The record is from RNAcentral.
GAUGAACGCUGGCGGCGUGCCUAAUACAUGCAAGUCGAGCGAACGGACGAGAAGCUUGCUUCUCUGAUGUUAGCGGCGGACGGGUGAGUAACACGUGGAUAACCUACCUAUAAGACUGGGAUAACUUCGGGAAACCGGAGCUAAUACCGGCUAAUAUUUUGAACCGCAUGGUUCAAAAGUGAAAGACGGUCUUGCUGUCACUUAUAGAUGGAUCCGCGCUGCAUUAGCUAGUUGGUAAGGUAACGGCUUACCAAGGCAACGAUGCAUAGCCGACCUGAGAGGGUGAACGGGCAAACUGGAAAUGAGACAAGGUCCAGACCCCUAAGGGAAGCAGGAGGAGGGAAACUUCCGCAAAGGGCGAAAGGCUGAAGGAGGAAAGACGGGGGAGGGAAGAAGGGCUUCGGAGCGGAAAACUCUGUUAUUAGGGAAAAAAAUAUGUGAAAGUAACUGUGCACAGCUUGACGGUACCUAAUCAGAAAGCCACGGCUAACUACGUG